Non-coding RNA from Cherax quadricarinatus, 916 nucleotides. The record is from RefSeq and is a predicted model, not a curated record. Lineage: Eukaryota; Metazoa; Arthropoda; Malacostraca; Decapoda; Parastacidae.
CUACACACCGAGAGGUGUGUCUAACACUUGAGUCCUGGAGAUGGAAAGUACAGUGCCUGCACUCUGAAGGACGGGUGGGGAUAUUUGCAGUUUGGAGGACCAUCUGGACAACAGUAUUUGCUCAUCUCUGCCAUUUCCUACUAAGGCGGGAUGACCCGGAAAAAAAGAAACACUUUCAUCAUCACUCACUCCAUCACUGUCUUGCCAGAGGCGUGCCGAUACUACACUACAAAAACUGCAACAUAUCUCAACCCCUCCUUCAGAGCCCAGGAACUGUACUUCCCACCUGCUGGAGUUAGGAAGGCUGUUCUAGGUGCUACCAAUCAUUCUGGAGGAGACUUUAAGUGACAUUUAGGCCAGAAACGUCGUCUGAUGUUUGGGUUCCAGGAAGCGAGUGAUGUCUCACCUGUUCCAGUUAUCGUAAUCACGCUAGGAAGUUUUGCAGAAGCCUGUGAAGUUUUCCAGCACGCGAAGAAGUUUUCCAGAAGCAGGCUGGAAAACACGUAGAAGUCCUUCAAAGAGGAAACUGGAUCCCCCAUCUCCGCUAUAUGCCAGAUCAGCUGGGUUAUGAUGGCUGGGUGAGCCAGGGGGCCGUUAGCAGCAACAGCCUGGUUGAAUAGGCAAUCAACAGGUAAGCCUGUCCUUAAGCUUGGCUCGGAGGGUAUGAGAAUCCUGGAUGGCCCGACACAGGCACAAGCGCAUGUGUGUGUCAUCGUUAAGCAAGAUUCAGGAGCUGGAACCUCCUUUUGUAUGCAUCUUCAAACUUCGUCUCUCCUACUGUUUGCACAAACAAAGCACCCUUACUGUGUGGUCUUUUUCGCCUCCCUGCUCUCACCCAGCUGUGACCUGACACUGGUGCAAGAUGAGUGGAAAUGUCCUCAUAAAAUUCCUAUCCUAAGUAGGAGUUUUUAGUGAG